This 807-nucleotide long non-coding RNA is filed under the name Homo sapiens (human). RNAcentral's name for it is "HSALNT0305930". Lineage: Eukaryota; Metazoa; Chordata; Mammalia; Primates; Hominidae. The record is from RNAcentral.
AUUAAGUAGUGUGUACAUAUCUACAAACUGCCCUGCUUCCUAUGGUUCCUUUGAUGCUGAUUUGCUUCUUUAAGCCUUCCUUCCUUCCAAACCAUGAAUCAGGUCCUUCCAGAGGCUAAGAAUUAAGUUCACAAUUAAGGCGACUCCCUCACUGUUUCCUCUGCUUUCAGAGAGGGGAAAAUACUUCCAGGACAAGUCAAGAAUUUAUCAGAUGCUCUGCUUUCAGCAGCCUGAAACUUUCAGCAGGAACACGAUAGCCGAAAUCCCAUGCCACUUCUUCUAUUGAGGCUUCCGUUUAAAUCAGUCCACCUUUUUUUUAGCAUCUCCUUCAUGCCAGGCACUGUGUGGAGAGAUGGUGCUACAGAGGUAAACUAAUCCAGCUACAGUCCUUGCCUUCAUGGGCUUUCAGCAAAGUAAUCUACUCCUCACACUUAAUUCUCCUGAGAAGGCUUCCUGGAUACACUUGAGAAUGAACUCCACUUUGGUUAUACAGACACAUGGAACUCCAUCACUGCUGUUGCUGAGAAAAUAUCAAUGGCUACAUUAUUUUCAACUGCUGCCUAUGAGUUAUAUCAGAGAUUAAUUGAUCAGCUAAAUGAGAAAAUGCAGAGAAUACACAAGGAAUAAAUCGAUGAAGGAAAAAGUGUGCUGUGUCUUCUAUACCUGGGAUCAAUUGUGUUACAGCUCACUCAGAGAGGCACCAGAUUGCCAAACAGCCUGCUUGCAAGGGGUCACAAAUAGGGCAAAUCACCAGCUUAACAACAUGUGAAAUUUUCAUUGUCUUAUUUAUAACCAAUUUCUCACUAA